RNAcentral lists this ribosomal RNA (424 nucleotides) under uncultured eukaryote. RNAcentral describes it as "SSU rRNA". It matches the Rfam family "Eukaryotic small subunit ribosomal RNA", at positions 592 to 1018 of the family's 1831-position model. The record is from RNAcentral.
CAAUAGCGUAUAUUAAAGUUGUUGCAGUUAAAAAGCUCGUAGUUGGAUUUCUGGUGGGAGGGAUCGGUCCUGCAUUCUUUGUAGGAACUUGUAUCCUCUCCGGCCAUCCUUGGGUGGAUCUUGUCUGGCAUUAAGUUGUCAGUCAGGGGAUGCCCAUCGUUUACUGUGAAAAAUUAGAGUGUUCAAAGCAGGCUUAUGCCAUUGAAUAUAUUAGCAUGGAAUAAUAAGAUAGGGCCCUGGUACUAUUUUGUUGGUUUGCGUACCGAGGUAAUGAUUAAUAGGGACAGUUGGGGGUAUUUGUAUUCAGUAUUCAGUGGUGAAAUACUUAGACCUACGGAAGACAAACUACUGCGAAAGCAUUUACCAAGGAUGUUUUCAUUAAUCAAGAACGAAAGUUAGGGGAUCGAAGAUGAUUAGAUACCAU